Non-coding RNA from Yersinia mollaretii ATCC 43969, 120 nucleotides. The record is from Rfam. NCBI's taxonomy places the organism in Bacteria, Pseudomonadati, Pseudomonadota, Gammaproteobacteria, Enterobacterales, Yersiniaceae.
GCAGGUGAAUGCAACGUCAAGCGAUGGGCGUUGUGCUCCAUAUUUGUAAUACUUUUAUUUUUGAAUUACUGCAUAGCACAUAAUUGUUACGAUGCCGAUGUUGUCUCAACAUCGGCAUUU